RNAcentral lists this ribosomal RNA (460 nucleotides) under uncultured bacterium. RNAcentral describes it as "partial 16S ribosomal RNA". It matches the Rfam family "Bacterial small subunit ribosomal RNA", at positions 338 to 795 of the family's 1533-position model. The record is from RNAcentral.
CCUACGGGCGGCUGCAGUGAGGAAUAUUGGUCAAUGGACGAGAGUCUGAACCAGCCAAGUAGCGUGAAGGAUGACUGCCCUAUGGGUUGUAAACUUCUUUUAUAUGGGAAUAAAACGUUCCACGUGUGGGAUUUUGUAUGUACCAUAUGAAUAAGGAUCGGCUAACUCCGUGCCAGCAGCCGCGGUAAUACGGAGGAUCCGAGCGUUAUCCGGAUUUAUUGGGUUUAAAGGGAGCGUAGGUGGAUUGUUAAGUCAGUUGUGAAAGUUUGCGGCUCAACCGUAAAAUUGCAGUUGAAACUGGCAGUCUUGAGUACAGUAGAGGUGGGCGGAAUUCGUGGUGUAGCGGUGAAAUGCUUAGAUAUCACGAAGAACUCCGAUUGCGAAGGCAGUUCACUGGACUGCAACUGACACUGAGGCUCGAAAGUGUGGGUAUCAAACAGGAGUAGAUACCCUGGUAGUC